This is a non-coding RNA of Caenorhabditis elegans, 149 nucleotides long. The record is from Ensembl. NCBI's taxonomy places the organism in Eukaryota, Metazoa, Nematoda, Chromadorea, Rhabditida, Rhabditidae.
UUUAGGUUCAAAUGAAAUUUGUCAUAAAAUCAAAAACAAAACUACAUAACAAGAGCUAGAUAACCUACAAACACCCAAUCGGGCGCCAGGGCGAGUGAAAGGGCAAGUGUGAGGCGCCCUCGGCACAAAAAUACACAUUUUUAUAAUGG